This 106-nucleotide small RNA is filed under the name Olea europaea subsp. europaea. Lineage: Eukaryota; Viridiplantae; Streptophyta; Magnoliopsida; Lamiales; Oleaceae. The record is from RNAcentral.
UAUUCUACAUAACCCAAGUACAAAAUACAUUACCUGUGUAGUGAUUCUACCAACGGUAUCAUUUGCAGAGCACAAUCAUAUCUUUUCGUCACUAUCAUAGUAUUCU